GGGAUUUUAUUUUAUUUUUAGGUUAAAAUAUGCCAUAAAUUUAUAUACUCUUCGAAUAUUUAGAAUUUAGUUUCUUUGCAUAUCAUAUUUUAAAAUACAUGUCUAAUUGUUAAUACUGUUAAAAUUAUUUUUGUUAAAUUUAGGUCCAUUGCAACAUCAUUCUUUUAGUUACCUGACUACCACAUGAGUAUUUUUUUAUUUAAAAAUAUCACACCAACAAAUUUAACCAAAAAAUAUUAACAAUGUUAACAGUUGAAUCUGAAUUUUGAAAUAUGAAAAGUAAAUGGACUAAAUUCCAAAUUUGUGAAAGGU
This 312-nucleotide long non-coding RNA is filed under the name Gossypium raimondii (Peruvian cotton). RNAcentral's name for it is "long non-coding RNA (GRAI_LNC010173)". The record is from RNAcentral. Lineage: Eukaryota; Viridiplantae; Streptophyta; Magnoliopsida; Malvales; Malvaceae.